Molecule: ribosomal RNA, 689 nt
Filed under: uncultured Geobacter sp.
Lineage: Bacteria; Pseudomonadati; Thermodesulfobacteriota; Desulfuromonadia; Geobacterales; Geobacteraceae
Description: bacterial SSU rRNA
Rfam family: Bacterial small subunit ribosomal RNA
Source: RNAcentral
UAAUACCUGAUAAGCCCACGGGGUCUUCGGAUUCUGCGGGAAAAGGGGGGGACCUUCGGGCCUUCUGUCAUCAGAUGAGUCUGCGUACCAUUAGCUAGUUGGUAGGGUAAAGGCCUACCAAGGCGACGAUGGUUAGCUGGUCUGAGAGGAUGAUCAGCCACACUGGAACUGAGACACGGUCCAGACUCCUACGGGAGGCAGCAGUGGGGAAUUUUGCGCAAUGGGGGAAACCCUGACGCAGCAACGCCGCGUGAGUGAUGAAGGCUCUUGGGUCGUAAAGCUCUGACAGAGGGAAAGAAGUGUAUUGUGGCUAAUAUCCACGAUACUUGACGGUACCCUCAAAGGAAGCACCGGCUAACUCCGUGCCAGCAGCCGCGGUAAUACGGGGGGUGCAAGCGUUGUUCGGAUUUAUUGGGCGUAAAGCGCGUGUAGGCGGUUUGUUAAGUCUGAUGUGAAAGCCCUGGGCUCAACCCGGGAAGUGCAUUGGAAACUGGCAGACUUGAAUACGGGAGAGGAGAGUGGAAUUCCUGGUGUAGGAGUGAAAUCCGUAGAUAUCAGGAGGAACACCGGUGGCGAAGGCGGCUCUCUGGACCGAUAUUGACGCUGAGACGCGAAAGCGUGGGUAGCAAACAGGAUUAGAUACCCUGGUAGUCCACGCCGUAAACGAUGAGUACUAGGUGUUGCGGGUA